RNAcentral lists this ribosomal RNA (492 nucleotides) under uncultured bacterium. Its description in RNAcentral is "partial 16S ribosomal RNA". It matches the Rfam family "Bacterial small subunit ribosomal RNA", at positions 29 to 507 of the family's 1533-position model. The record is from RNAcentral.
AGUGGACGCUGGCGGUAGGCCUAACACAUGCAAGUCGAACGGCAGCACAGUAAGAGCUUGCUCUUACGGGUGGCGAGUGGCGGACGGGUGAGGAAUACAUCGGAAUCUACUUUUUCGUGGGGGAUAACGUAGGGAAACUUACGCUAAUACCGCAUACGACCUACGGGUGAAAGCAGGGGAUCUUCGGACCUUGCGCGAUUGAAUGAGCCGAUGUCGGAUUAGCUAGUUGGCGGGGUAAAGGCCCACCAAGGCGACGAUCCGUAGCUGGUCUGAGAGGAUGAUCAGCCACACUGGAACUGAGACACGGUCCAGACUCCUACGGGAGGCAGCAGUGGGGAAUAUUGGACAAUGGGCGCAAGCCUGAUCCAGCCAUACCGCGUGGGUGAAGAAGGCCUUCGGGUUGUAAAGCCCUUUUGUUGGGAAAGGAAAGCAGCAGGUUAAUACCCCGCUGUUCUGACGGUACCCAAAGAAUAAGCACCGGCUAACUUCGUG